RNAcentral lists this unclassified non-coding RNA (272 nucleotides) under uncultured fungus. Its description in RNAcentral is "partial contains small subunit ribosomal RNA, internal transcribed spacer 1, and 5.8S ribosomal RNA". The stretch from base 1 to 73 matches the Rfam family "Eukaryotic small subunit ribosomal RNA", at positions 1759 to 1831 of the family's 1831-position model. Lineage: Eukaryota; Fungi. The record is from RNAcentral.
UCAAACUUGGUCAUUUAGAGGAAGUAAAAGUCGUAACAAGGUUUCCGUAGGUGAACCUGCGGAAGGAUCAUUACCGGUUUUCGGGUGCGUCUCGGCGCGCCCAAACCCCCAACCCUGUGAUUUUAUCUCAACCUGUUUCUUUGCCGGCCCCGGCCGGCAGAAGUUUUCUCAAACCCAUUGUAAUCGUGUCGUCUGAAAAAGUCAUGUUUGAUAAUGAAAUCAAAACUUUCAACAACGGAUCUCUUGGUUCUGGCAUCGAUGAAGAACGCAGC